This is a long non-coding RNA of Rosa chinensis, 329 nucleotides long. RefSeq lists it as uncharacterized. The transcript has 3 exons. The record is from RefSeq and is a predicted model, not a curated record. Lineage: Eukaryota; Viridiplantae; Streptophyta; Magnoliopsida; Rosales; Rosaceae.
CUUCAUACACCAGUUCAUAAAAUGGUUCACAAGGCCUCUGCUGUUUACAUGUUACCCUUCAUUGUACUGCUAUUGCUCGCAUCCUAUACACUAGUAGUGUAUGCUGAUUUUUCCCCAACAACAAAAGGCAAAGAAAACAGCAGGUUUCAUUGGGCCAUAAGGAAAUUAAUCGACGUACGAAAGCCUCCUACACCGGGAGAUGGUCAAGGUACAACCCCACCUUGAGCCCUUGACAUGAUGCAGAAAUCUAGCAAAAAUUUUAAUGAAUCAUUUUUUUUUUGCUUUGUUUCUCCGGGUUUAUGAUUAAUUUCAAGUUUGAUGAAUAAAAU